UAUGAUAACCUAUCCAAGAAAAAUCAAAACUUUCUUCAACCUACUUCUCGUAAAGAAGCGUGAAAUUUUAUAGCAAAAGUUCCACAAGCACAUACAUGGCACUUAUAUUUGCAUAUUCACAGAAAUGGAAAAUGAUAUAAAGAGGAAUAUUUUAGGCUGACAGUCCGACACUAUGUCCGAUGCGGUUCAGAUGCAUGUAUUUCUAUGGCUAGAUAUGCAUAUAAUUUUACAUAUACACUGGGAACGUGCAUCUGUCCUGCUACCAAAGUGACCAUUCUACAUUCCCUAUGAAAUUUGUGCUUCUGCCAGGCAUUUGUGCGAACAUAUGACAUGCAUAAUGCAUGAUAAAUGAAGAAAAACAAGAGGACUGGAGAUUAAAGUGAGAAUGAUUCCUAUAUUUUCAUAAGUUUCUAAAUUGCUCCCAAUCCCACAAAAAUAAAAUAGGAGAUACUCCUUUCUCUCCGUAAUACCUUGAUGUAGAAUGUUACUAACCACUUGCUGAUUUUUGAAAUAGGUAUACAACUACUGGCUUCAAUGUUUUCCAUCGACUCCGCAUAUAUACACAUCGGUAAACUGUACAUUGGUAUGCACUGCAAGCGCAACACUUUUGAUGUGAAACUGAAACUACACACUUCAGAGAAGAAGAUUAAGAAUAGCACAGAACCACAUGACGUGAG
Molecule: long non-coding RNA, 677 nt
Filed under: Triticum aestivum (bread wheat)
Lineage: Eukaryota; Viridiplantae; Streptophyta; Magnoliopsida; Poales; Poaceae
Description: long non-coding RNA (TAES_LNC001826)
Source: RNAcentral